RNAcentral lists this ribosomal RNA (1309 nucleotides) under metagenome. Its description in RNAcentral is "bacterial LSU rRNA". It matches the Rfam family "Bacterial large subunit ribosomal RNA", at positions 1630 to 2925 of the family's 2925-position model. The record is from RNAcentral.
CGUUCUAGCCGCCCGUACCCCAAACCGACUCAGGUGGUUAGGUAGAGAAUACCAAGGCGAUCGAGUGAAUCGUGGUUAAGGAAUUCGGCAAAAUACCCCCGUAACUUCGGGAGAAGGGGGGCCCAGAGGGUGACGGGACUUGCUCCCCGAGCCUGAACGGCCGCAGAGACCAGGGAGAAGCGACUGUUUACUAAAAACACAGGUCCGUGCCAAGUCGCAAGACGAUGUAUACGGACUGACGCCUGCCCGGUGCUGGAACGUUAAGGGGACCGGUUAGCCUCACGGCGAAGCUGAGAACUUAAGCGCCAGUAAACGGCGGUGGUAACUAUAACCAUCCUAAGGUAGCGAAAUUCCUUGUCGGGUAAGUUCCGACCUGCACGAAUGGCGUAACGACUUCUCCACUGUCUCAACCACGAACUCGGCGAAAUUGCACUACGAGUAAAGAUGCUCGUUACGCGCAGAAGGACGGAAAGACCCCGGGACCUUUACUACAGCUUGGUAUUGGUGUUCGGUACGGCUUGUGUAGGAUAGGUGGGAGACUGUGAAGCUGACACGCCAGUGUCGGUGGAGUCAACGUUGAAAUACCACUCUGGUCGUUCUGGAUAUCUAACCUAGGUCCGUAAUCCGGAUCAGGGACAGUGCCUGGUGGGUAGUUUAACUGGGGCGGCUGCCUCCUAAAAGGUAACGGAGGCGCCCAAAGGUUCCCUCAGCCUGGUUGGCAAUCAGGUUUCGAGUGUAAGUGCACAAGGGAGCUUGACUGUGAGACUGACAAGUCGAACAGGGACGAAAGUCGGGACUAGUGAUCCGGCGGUGGCUUGUGGAAGCGCCGUCGCUCAACGGAUAAAAGGUACCCCGGGGAUAACAGGCUGAUCUUGCCCAAGAGUCCAUAUCGACGGCAUGGUUUGGCACCUCGAUGUCGGCUCGUCGCAUCCUGGGGCUGGAGUAGGUCCCAAGGGUUGGGCUGUUCGCCCAUUAAAGCGGUACGCGAGCUGGGUUUAGAACGUCGUGAGACAGUUCGGUCCCUAUCCUCUGCGCGCGCAGGAAACUUGAGAAGGGCUGUCCCUAGUACGAGAGGACCGGGAUGGACGAACCUCUGGUGUGUCAGUUGUUCUGCCGAGAGCACCGCUGAUUAGCUACGUUCGGGAGUGAUAACCGCUGAAAGCAUCUAAGCGGGAAGCAUGCUUCAAGAUGAGGUUUCCAUGGGGUUUACCCCGAGAGGCUCCCAGCUAGACUACUGGGUUGAUAGGCCGGAUGUGGAAGUGCGGUAACGCAUGGAGCUGACCGGUAUUAAUAAGCCGAUAACUUGACC